UUGGGAGCUCUCCCAUAUGGUCGACCUGCAGGCGGCCGCGAAUUCACUAGUGAUUCGUAUUACCGCGGCUGCUGGCACGGAGUUAGCCGGAGCUUAUUCUCCCGGUACUGUCAUUAUCAUCCCGGGUAAAAGAGCUUUACGACCCUAAGGCCUUCAUCACUCACGCGGCAUUGCUGGAUCAGGCUUGCGCCCAUUGUCCAAUAUUCCCCACUGCUGCCUCCCGUAGGAGUCUGGGCCGUGUCUCAGUCCCAGUGUGGCUGAUCAUCCUCUCAGACCAGCUAAGGAUCGUCGGCUUGGUAGGCCUUUACCCCACCAACUACCUAAUCCUACGCGGGCUCAUCCCUGGCCGAUAAAUCUUUGGUCCGAAGACAUCAUCCGGUAUUAGCAGUCAUUUCUAACUGUUAUUCCGAACCAAGGGGCAGAUUCCCACGCGUUACGCACCCGUGCGCCACUAAGGCCGAAGCCUUCGUUCGACUUGCAUGUGUUAGGCAUGCCGCCAGCGUUCAAUCUGAGCCAGGAUCAAACUCUAAUCGAAUUCCCGCGGCCGCCAUGGCGGCCGGGAGCAUGCGAC
RNAcentral lists this ribosomal RNA (571 nucleotides) under uncultured bacterium. RNAcentral describes it as "partial 16S ribosomal RNA". The record is from RNAcentral.